RNAcentral lists this long non-coding RNA (1006 nucleotides) under Homo sapiens (human). RNAcentral describes it as "LNC_000713". The record is from RNAcentral. Lineage: Eukaryota; Metazoa; Chordata; Mammalia; Primates; Hominidae.
GUCGGCAUGAUAAAAGCUGACACGGACAGCAGGCACCAUCCAUGUGUGGAAGAGCGUCUCCAGGAUGUUUCUGGCCACGGCGUCAGUCACCAAGUGGAGGUGCAGUGGAUUUUUCCUUUUGGGUGGGCAAAGAGGAAGCCUGAGAGGCCCCAGCAGGAGCAACAUGGGACAGCCCCCACCCCGAGGGGCGCAGAGAUGGAAGCGCCAUCUGCAAAGAGCUUUUCCACGCCCGGCUCAGGAUGUUCUUACAACUGCCCUUCUAAGGGAGGAAGGGGACACUGUCCCCGCGUCACAGAUGAGGAAGCUGAAGCUCUGAGACCAGCAGCCUGUCCCGGGCUUUGUCCCUUCCCCACUCCUGACCCUCCUCCACGGACACCUGGCUGUACCUGUAGAAGAGCAUGGACUUCACCAGGGUGAUGACGUCUCGGCUGGAGUUAUGCCCCGCACACACGAUGGCCACAUGCAAGAGCUGGGGAGGGACGCCCAGGUCGGCAGCAGCCCCCCUUCUCCGCUAGGCGGUGAGGACCCAUGUUGAGCUGCCCCACCCCGCAGCAGAGCCCGGAACAGUGUGCGGAGGGGGCAGCAGGAGCCAACCCUUCAUUUCAAAUGGGGAAAUGAGGUCGGGAGCAGAGGAGCUGCACGUUCGAGGUGCGCCCCAGCCGGCUGGCCAGUGCUGGACAGACGCCAGGUACUGUGAUUCCCGCAGAUGUCCAAGAGGCCGGGCUCGGGGGCGGCGCCCCCAGGACUCCCGCCGCCAGGGCCGCGCGCACCUACCUCGCACUUGGGCGGCGGCGGCGGCUGCGGGCCGCAGUCGGAGCGGUUGUGGUCCCCGGGGCCGGCCCCCGGGUCUCCGUCGAGGGCGGCGGCUCUCCGCAGCCUCCCGUCUGGGGGGACACGUGGCAUGAGCGGGCCGGGGAAGCAUCCCGGGGCCCCCGCUCGCCCGCCAGGCUCGCGGCGCUCACACCCCAGGUCCCCACCGAACAGGAGGAAUCCGAGCAGCAGCAGC